RNAcentral lists this transfer RNA (65 nucleotides) under Dipodomys ordii (Ord's kangaroo rat). It matches the Rfam family "tRNA". From Rfam's summary of the family: Transfer RNA (tRNA) molecules are approximately 80 nucleotides in length. Their secondary structure includes four short double-helical elements and three loops (D, anti-codon, and T loops). Lineage: Eukaryota; Metazoa; Chordata; Mammalia; Rodentia; Heteromyidae. The record is from Rfam by way of RNAcentral.
GAUGGCUCAGUGGUAGAGUACUUGCCUUGCAUGCAUGAGGCCCUGGGUUCAAUUCCUCAGCAUCA